GAGCCAUUAGCUCAGUUGGCAGAGCACCUGACUUUUAAUCAGGGUGUCGAUGGUUCGAGUCCAUCAUGGCUCACCA
Molecule: transfer RNA, 76 nt
Filed under: Clostridium sp.
Lineage: Bacteria; Bacillati; Bacillota; Clostridia; Eubacteriales; Clostridiaceae
Also listed under: 4 other names
Description: tRNA-Lys
Rfam family: tRNA
About the family: Transfer RNA (tRNA) molecules are approximately 80 nucleotides in length. Their secondary structure includes four short double-helical elements and three loops (D, anti-codon, and T loops).
Source: RNAcentral